This 519-nucleotide ribosomal RNA is filed under the name uncultured bacterium. RNAcentral's name for it is "bacterial SSU rRNA". It matches the Rfam family "Bacterial small subunit ribosomal RNA", at positions 109 to 656 of the family's 1533-position model. The record is from RNAcentral.
AGUAACACGUGACUAACCUACCUUGAGUGGGGGAUAACCUAGGGAAACCUGGGCUAAUACCGCAAUUUUAAUACCUUCGGGUCAAAGGGAGCAAUUCGCUUAAGGAGGGGGUCGCGGCCGAUUAGUUAGUUGGCGGGGUAAUGGCCCACCAAGACUGUGAUCGGUAUCCGGCCUGAGAGGGCGCACGGACACACUGGAACUGAAACACGGUCCAGACUCCUACGGGAGGCAGCAGUGGGGAAUUUUGCGCAAUGGGGGAAACCCUGACGCAGCAACGCCGCGUGGAGGAUGAAGUCCCUUGGGACGUAAACUCCUUUCGAUCGGGACGAUUAUGACGGUACCGGAAGAAGAAGCCCCGGCUAACUUCGUGCCAGCAGCCGCGGUAAUACGAGGGGGGCGAGCGUUGUUCGGAAUUAUUGGGCGUAAAGGGUGCGUAGGCGGUUUGGUAAGUCUCGUGUGAAAUCUUCGGGCUCAACUCGAAGUCUGCACGAGAAACUGCCGGGCUUGAGUAUGGGAGAG